UUGAAAAUGAGACUUGUUUCUUUAAUCAUAAGGAACUUUUCUCAUCCAAAAAAACUUCCAUUUCAUACUAUCACAUUACAAAUCUCCAUACAAAGAAAUUACAAAAAAAAUUGACUUUUGACCUAUAUUUGACUUUGGUCAACUGUUGACCAAAGUCAACUCAUCUAAAUCCUUAAACCUACUGACAAGGUUCACUUUGCUUCUUCAUGUUCCCCAUAUUCGCUUUUAGCUUCAUGAUCAAAGAUUGCUUCACUUGCAAGUAGCCAUGUUCUUCAAGGUUAUUCAUGGUGGUUUUACUCCAAAUGUAUUGAGCUCAUGGCCAAUUUCCAGGCAUAAGUCAGCCAUGCAUUCAAGAUGUAUCCAAUGCAUCAUUUCACACAUUAAUCCAUCACAAUCCAAUGCAUCAUUAUUAAAAAUUCUAAGCCAAUGCAUUAUCACAACAUACAUACACAUACAUGUUAUCACAAGCAUAACAAUCAUCAAACAUUAUCAUUCACAUCACCUAGUAUCCUAACAGCUAGCAUUCAAUAACCAUCAUUCACAUUUAGUUCACAACACAUAGCAAAUGCAACAACAAUCAAACAUGUUCAUAACAGGCUACACACCAAACAACAAGACAUUCUGAAGUUAAAAUAACCAAACCGUUAUAUUUAGUUAGUGAACCAAACCAUAUUGCAUAAACAGUUCUAGAACUGAACUGAAGCUGAACAAAACUGAAACUGUCGAACCAAACCGAAAUUGAAAAUAAAAAAAAUACUAAAAAGACAUUUUCAUUUUAUUAUUUAAAAUUUUAAAAUAGUUUAACGGUUCAUUUCUUAAAUAAAUGGUUUGGUUUGGGAAAAAUUAACUUCUAAUGGUUCGGUAUUGGUUUGGAAUUUCAAAAUGAUAUACCAAACCAUAAUAAUGCUUCGGUUCGGUUCUGAGGUAAAUUGAAAUGGUUUGGUUUAGUUCAAGUAAAUUUUCACUAUGGUUUGGUUCGGUUCGGUUAGGUUUUCUCCCUGAACCAUACCUUGAACAGCCCUAGCAAUUGCAAAUAGUUCAAGGCAUUGCAAAUUAAAACCAACAGCAAAUCAUUUAGCUUACAAAAAGCCAGUUACAUUCACUAACAAAAUCUUAUCAUCCACGUUCAUACUUAACUGCAUCUAACUUCACUAAUCAGCAUAACACAAAAUCGAAACCAACCGUUCCCUAACAAAAGUUCAUAACUAACUCGAAAUUCACAGUUAACUCUAACAAAAAUCCAAAACUUCCAACAUAAACCAUAACAAAAUUUCACUAAUCCCUAAGCUCGCCUAACUACCUGCUCAAUUCAGUUAACGUUUCAUCCCUAUAAAUCUCACCAUCACCUUCAUUCAAAGGAUUUGAAUUCCAUUUUCACCAAAUUCAUGAUCAUUCCAAUCCAUUCGUCUUCUCACUCUCUCUCGAAACCAUACUCAGAACUCUUUCAACCCACGCCUUUAGUCCCUCACACCCUCAAUUCAAUCACACUCUUGAAUCUCAAAACAAAAAACACAAUAACAUAUCCCAACAAGAAGAAGGAGAAGAAGGAGAAGAAGAAUAUUUAGAAUUCAGAAGCAAGAAAAAGACUCAGAGCAAGAGUUUAUUGGAACCUCGUUGUCGUCUUCGUCUUCUCCGGCAAGGUGGGUCUCUAAUUCUCUCCAUUUUGCUUCGAACUCGUUAUUAUAAUGUGAGUUAAGAUGUGAGGAAUUAAAGCCCCAAUCCCUUGACCUUUGAUUCCUUAGGGUUAGCAUUUAAUUUAAGGUUUAGUAUUAGGGUUUUUCAAUAAAUCGAAUCGGUUAUAGCAUUAGCUUUGGAAUGGACUGAAAUUGAUUUCGGAUUCUAGUAGUGGAGAUUGAAACGAGUAUGAUGGUGUGUGAUUUUUGGUGGUUGGCCCUCCGCCGCCGCCGGAGGCGACCUCCAACGCGACGGAGGAGACGGCUCUCGAGUCAUAGCUUUUGAAAUGAAUUUAAGUUUGAGCGCGC
This 1982-nucleotide long non-coding RNA is filed under the name Lathyrus oleraceus (garden pea). RNAcentral describes it as "Pisum sativum (pea) long non-coding RNA (PSAT_LNC032183)". Lineage: Eukaryota; Viridiplantae; Streptophyta; Magnoliopsida; Fabales; Fabaceae. The record is from RNAcentral.